UCAAACUCCUGACCUCAAAUGAUCCACCCGGAUGGUGAGAGUUUUAAUGUGUGUGGUUUUCGUUUUGUUUUUGUCAUAAAAACUUGGCAUGGUGGUUAUCAGUCCCCCAAUUUUCUCUGGAAAUUGCAAAGGUCCCUGGGAGUGUGCUCAAGAAUCCUUCAGAUCCCAUGCACCCAGGCUCAGCUGGGAGCCCAGAAAACAGGGAGGAGAGGCAGCCCCUGCCAGGAGCCAGCAGCCAGCAGCAACAGCAGUGGGGGUGGAUGGCCCAGGGGCAGGUGAGCAUGGUUCCAGAUGCCUGCACUUUGGGUCCCAAAGGCCUGGCACUGGGAGAGUGUUCCCAGGCUGUCUGUGCCUCCUGCUGUCCCUGCCCCACCUGCUGAGGUGUCCCCAGAGGAGCUGGAACAGUGUGUUACAGCUCCCCAGGAAGUAAGGUCCCUGAGCACGCUGUGUUCUGGAGGCCAACGAAGGUGUGCCAGGCUCUGGCCAGUGGACCGUGGGUGCACACCUGCUCCAAGGCCCAGUGGCUUGGCAGGUCCCUGCCAGGAACAGCCACACUCAGCUCAGCUGGAAAGUCAGCCCAGCAGGCUCAGAGAUGGCCAGGGACAACAGGAACUCACAGGAGAGCCCAGACCACUCCAGGGGCCUUGCAACAGGCCCCGAAGACCCAGGGAUGGGGAGGAGGAACCUGGAGAGAGGGAUGGCAGAAGCAGCACUUGGGAAACCGCUCAACCGGGGAGAUAAAAGGUGAACACUGUGCUACACUCACAGCAUUUUAAACCUUGCAGCUCCCAGCAACUCUGCCCUAAUGAGAAGCAGGAAGAGCCGCGACAGGCAGGGAAGGGAGCUGCUUGGAGGCGAGGAGGAUGGGAGGGCACAGAGCUUAACUAAGUCUUGUGCCCUGCCACCCUGGGAGCCAUCCUGCCCCACGGAGACUCCCACAGAGGGUUUCCAAGCAGGGGAGAGCAACCAGAAUUCACAGCCUGCAUUUUGGGCUCUGGUGAUACAGACUGGAAUGCAUCUAAGGGUGAGAGCCAUGAGCUGGAAAUGCGGGGUACAACUGUGGGGUGCGGCCACCGUACCUCGCAUCAUGCCGAAAAUGUCCUGUAGUGGUUAUAGCAGGACCCCUGCCUCACCCCAUGCCCGGAUAUCUAGAUCAUGCAGCCGAGGAACAGCAGAGGGUCUCCUGGAUGCUCUUCUUCACGCCUCAUCCUCAUCCCUAGCUCCAGCUCCAGGCCCAGGCUGCUUUUAACAAGACAGUGAAGAGUGGCAGUUAAAGGUCUGGCUGGCAUCAGACAGUGCUGAAUUCAGACACCAGCUGAGCUGAAAACGGCCUGGCUGGGUGACCUUGAGCAAGCAGCCUGCCCUCUCCGAGGCUCAGUUUAUUUUCUGGAAGGGGGAAGACGGUGUCUACUUCCAACAACCGCCAUGAUGUUUCAGAUUCAGCCCGAAGGGUGAGCAGCCAAUAAACAGUGCCGAGAAAGGUCUCUGGCCUGCCAGGUAGAGAAAUGACCUGAUUCCUUCCAGAAGUUUCCAAUGUUUCCAAGCCGAUGAGGCUCCUGGGAGACGCCUCCAGAUCUUGUAACGUUCAGGGAAGCAUGGGCUCUGGUUGCAUUAGGGAGGAUUUAUUUUAUUUUUAAAGGAGUUGAGGCCACUUUGCAAUCAGAGCCUUCAUGGCUGGAGCAGGGAGAGCCGAGGAAGGGUAUUAAUCAAGGCGUUUUAAGGACAUGCAAAUCAGGAGAAAGCUCAAGUGAUUAGGGUGUGAUGGGGCCUGCAGUCCAGCCUGUAUCCCCAUCUGAGAAGAGACAGCUAGAGAGCCAGGCAAGGUGGCUCAGGCCCAGCUGGGGGCGGCAGCCAAGGGGCUGUCAUGGGGCUGGGAGCAAGUGGAGGCGGAGGGAAGGGUCCCUGAUGACUGCACUGUCCAUGUGGUACUCUGGCUGGGUCCCCGCCUCCCCCACAGCUGCAGAGGCUGGGAUAGGCCCCUCUUCCUAAGGAUACGGAAUGGCUGUUUGGGUGAAAGGGGCCCACUGGCACUGCUGGGGCGCGGGAUGGGGAAUGUGAUGUCAGCGAUCCGCGGGAUCUUCGGGGUGACAGCCGUACCCCCUGCGUAGGACCCAGGGCUCCACAUCUAUAGACCUGACCUAAGGAAAUAUGCGGGCGUGUGCACAAGGAUGCCAUCUCAGGGACUGCGUAUUAAUAAAAAGCUGAAUCAGUGUCCAGCAAGGCGGGUCGUUCGAGCUGGUUAUGGGAUGUGUUUACCAUGGACUUUCAGGUCCUCCUGAGAAAUGGCGACCUAGACGUGGGAAGAUGGUUGCAAUGUAUUGUUCCUCAAAGGAGAAACAAAGCAGGUUGCAAAACACUGGGAACUGUCUGUCCAUCUUCGAAAAGCCAGUCAUACAUCUAGAAAAAUCUGGAAGGGUAGCCACAAAAACAUCAUCAGUAGGUACUUUGGAGAGGGUGGAUUUCAGGUUAUUGUUACUGUCCCCUUUCCUGUUAAUUUUUGUGCAAUGAACAUAUGUGUAUUUGUAAUCAAUAAAGCCAUCUUCUUUUCUCUUUGUAAAAAA
Long non-coding RNA from Macaca mulatta (Rhesus monkey), 2561 nucleotides. RefSeq lists it as uncharacterized. The record is from RefSeq and is a predicted model, not a curated record. Lineage: Eukaryota; Metazoa; Chordata; Mammalia; Primates; Cercopithecidae.